Styela clava is the source of this 1375-nucleotide non-coding RNA. NCBI's taxonomy places the organism in Eukaryota, Metazoa, Chordata, Ascidiacea, Stolidobranchia, Styelidae. The record is from RefSeq and is a predicted model, not a curated record.
CGUGUCUAUGGCCAACAUAAUUGAGAGACUUAGCACAGUUGUACAAAGAGAACAUUGGUUUAAAAAACAAUAAAAACUGUAUAACUCAUAGAUAUAUUCAAAAAGACAUUACGGAUAAAAUACCCAAACUUCUUUCAGAGUUCUGCUAAUAAUUUUUUUGGUUUAUAGGAACGCUCCUCGGAGGCGCAUUAGACUAUGUCAGAGCAAAUUUGCUCCAUCACGAAACCAAUCGUCCCAAUGUCAAAGAUUUGGUUUGGGUAUUCACCGACGGUGGACAAUUUGACGAAGUCGAAGGACCCAGAGAUCGACUGAGACAAGAAGGAGCAGAGAUAUUUGCUCUUGGCUUUCAACGGUCAUUGUGGGACGACAUGGCUAUGUUGGAAAUCGCAGGUAAAAGAAAAAAUCUCAUUAAAAUUCACAAGAGAUUUAAUGUACUUCGAAAAAGAAUUAUCGAAAAGAUUUGUAUAUUAUAAUAGGGAAGACAAUAAUACAAACAGAAUGAACAAUUUUCAGGUGGUAAAUUUUCUAAUCAUAUUAUCUACGUCAAUGGAAGUAGAAGACGAUUUCAUAUAUAUAUUUAACAACUAUAAUACGAAUCAAGCACCUUAUUAUUACUUUUGUUGUUUUUCAUUUAUUAUUGUUCGCGGGCAUUUUCUAAGUUUCAUUCAGAAGUAUGGAGAAGUCAACCUAUUUGCGAGAGACAGUGAAACAAAUCGUUUGGGUUGGGCGGGCACCUAUGUAUACAACGUUUCUAACGGUUUACCUAAUAAUGACAUAAUAAUAACAAUUAAUUCUGUCGAAUACGUGUAUUUUGUAUCACGCAGUUUGUGUCAUCGUUAGUAAUUAAUUAUCUUGAUCAUGCGAUGGAAGCCGUGGCUAGAGUUAUUUCCUUACUAUUAGGACUUGCAUAAUAAUAUUGCUCACUCUGUUUAGAUUUGUCAUUUUGAGCUUUGCUCUUAAUUUAUAUUAUGUUCAUCGGAAAAAAUAUUAAACACGAAAUAUAUAAAGUGUAAAACGGAAGCUGUUACGUGCCAGCUCAAAUCUCGAACUUUGACAGUAAUUCGAAAUUUCUCAAUGUUACUAUCGCGGUAGCUGGAAAAAAUGCUCCAUUUUGAAGCCAAUGCUUAAGCAUAGUAAUAGCAUAGUAAUAUCUCAUAAACAAAACAAUUUCACCACAACUAUCCAGUUUAAUUUAUUUUAAGUCAGUUUCAGACAUGAUUAGGACAUCGUGUGUUGGUUAUUUAGUAUUAUAUAUAUAUAUUGAUCAUGUUCACUAUUUGAUUAUCGUAUUGUACCUAAUCCUAUCGUGUAAUGCGAUCGUAUUUUACUGUAAUCGUAAGUUGGAAGCUGUUAAUAAAAGAAUUGUCUGGUUGAA